GCCGAGAUUGGAUGGUUUCAGGCU
This 24-nucleotide non-coding RNA is filed under the name Arabidopsis thaliana (thale cress). Lineage: Eukaryota; Viridiplantae; Streptophyta; Magnoliopsida; Brassicales; Brassicaceae. The record is from RNAcentral.